UCUUCCUUUUAUUUUAAUUCACCAGUUUUUUAUACAUAAUUUUUUUCUGCAGAAAGUGGCAGAAAGUUUUAUGUGACGACUAGAAGUUUUGGCAAUUAUUCUUUAAACCAAUUUUUUCUUUAUGCGAAAAUAAAGAAAUGUGUGAUUGGCGAAGUAGUGAAGAAUUUCCGCUAUCAGGUCGGUCUUCUGGAUUAGAAACGGUUCGGACACUGAAAAAUGUUGAUAUUUUAAAAAAGUAUAAAUUGUUUACCAUUUGUCAUGGAUACACUUCGAGGUGGAGGCGCUGAAAAUGUUUUCGAUGCGUGCAUUUUAAUAUUUGUCCGCCUGAGUUGAACGCUCGUCAGAUCGUGAAUACUUAUAGUGGCAAGGGGCUG
This is a long non-coding RNA of Leptopilina heterotoma, 374 nucleotides long. RefSeq lists it as uncharacterized. The transcript is spliced from 3 exons. The record is from RefSeq and is a predicted model, not a curated record. NCBI's taxonomy places the organism in Eukaryota, Metazoa, Arthropoda, Insecta, Hymenoptera, Figitidae.